AACACAUUGUGGCACCUAAAUGAUACAUGAGGUUCAUAUUGUUAAAAUCAUUAUGAUAAUAAUGUUAUAUAAUACCUAUUUAAAAGUUCAAACAAAUAUUAAUCUACGACAACAGCUAUUUUAAUAAUUUUAUAUACUGACAACAAUCAGAUAUCUGGUAUGGUUGGGAUCUAAAUGUCCCAGAUCCUAUUUGUUCCUACACCAAAUAGUUGUAGCCUGAUAACCCGAGGACCCAAAACACUAAAUGCAGCCCUGUGUGUAAUUGUUUAACUUGGAUAGAAUUAGAAUUAUUCAAAAUUCAGAAAUAUUAGAAAUA
Cinara cedri is the source of this 316-nucleotide non-coding RNA. The record is from the annotation of a GenBank genome assembly. NCBI's taxonomy places the organism in Eukaryota, Metazoa, Arthropoda, Insecta, Hemiptera, Aphididae.